GACGAACGCUGGCGGCGUGCUUAACACAUUCAAGUCGAACGGAAAGGCCCUGCUUUUGUUGGGUGCUCGAGUGGCGAACGGGUGAGUAACACGUGAGUAACCUGCCCUUGACUUUGGGAUAACUUCAGGAAACUGGGGCUAAUACCCGAUAGGAGCUCCUGCUGCAUGGUGGGGGUUGGAAAGUUUCGGCGGUUGGGGAUGGACUCGCGGCUUAUCAGCUUGUUGGUGGGGUAGUGGCUUACCAAGGCUUUGACGGGUAGCCGGCCUGAGAGGGUGACCGGCCACAUUGGGACUGAGAUACGGCCCAGACUCCUACGGGAGGCAGCAGUGGGGAAUAUUGCACAAUGGGCGGAAGCCUGAUGCAGCAACGCCGCGUGCGGGAUGACGGCCUUCGGGUUGUAAACCGCUUUCGCCUGUGACGAAGCGUGAGUGACGGUAAUGGGUAAAGAAGCACCGGCUAACUACGUG
Molecule: ribosomal RNA, 468 nt
Filed under: uncultured bacterium
Lineage: Bacteria
Description: partial 16S ribosomal RNA
Rfam family: Bacterial small subunit ribosomal RNA
Source: RNAcentral